GAGUUUGAUCCUGGCUCAGAUUGAACGCUGGCGGCAUGCCUUACACAUGCAAGUCGAACGGCAGCGCGGGAGCAAUCCUGGCGGCGAGUGGCGAACGGGUGAGUAAUACAUCGGAACGUGCCCAAUCGUGGGGGAUAACGCAGCGAAAGCUGUGCUAAUACCGCAUACGAUCUACGGAUGAAAGCAGGGGAUCGCAAGACCUUGCGCGAAUGGAGCGGCCGAUGGCAGAUUAGGUAGUUGGUGAGGUAAAGGCUCACCAAGCCUUCGAUCUGUAGCUGGUCUGAGAGGACGACCAGCCACACUGGGACUGAGACACGGCCCAGACUCCUACGGGAGGCAGCAGUGGGGAAUUUUGGACAAUGGGCGCAAGCCUGAUCCAGCCAUGCCGCGUGCAGGAUGAAGGCCUUCGGGUUGUAAACUGCUUUUGUACGGAACGAAACGGCCUUUUCUAAUAAAGAGGGCUAAUGACGGUACCGUAAGAAUAAGCACCGGCUAACUACGUGCCAGCAGCCGCGGUAAUACGUAGGGUGCAAGCGUUAAUCGGAAUUACUGGGCGUAAAGCGUGCGCAGGCGGUAAUGUAAGACAGUUGUGAAAUCCCCGGGCUCAACCUGGGAACUGCAUCUGUGACUGCAUUGCUGGAGUACGGCAGAGGGGGAUGGAAUUCCGCGUGUAGCAGUGAAAUGCGUAGAUAUGCGGAGGAACACCGAUGGCGAAGGCAAUCCCCUGGGCCUGUACUGACGCUCAUGCACGAAAGCGUGGGGAGCAACAGGAUAGAUACCUG
RNAcentral lists this ribosomal RNA (782 nucleotides) under uncultured bacterium. RNAcentral describes it as "bacterial SSU rRNA". It matches the Rfam family "Bacterial small subunit ribosomal RNA", at positions 9 to 788 of the family's 1533-position model. The record is from RNAcentral.